Molecule: ribosomal RNA, 1065 nt
Filed under: Staphylococcus pseudintermedius
Lineage: Bacteria; Bacillati; Bacillota; Bacilli; Caryophanales; Staphylococcaceae
Description: partial 23S ribosomal RNA
Rfam family: Bacterial large subunit ribosomal RNA
Source: RNAcentral
CGAAAACGAAUUCUCUCUUGAGUGGAUCCUGAGUACGACGGAGCACGUGAAAUUCCGUCGGAAUCUGGGAGGACCAUCUCCUAAGGCUAAAUACUCUCUAGUGACCGAUAGUGAACCAGUACCGUGAGGGAAAGGUGAAAAGUACCCCGGAAGGGGAGUGAAAGAGAACUUGAAACCGUGUGCUUACAAGUAGUCAGAGCCCGUUAAUGGGUGAUGGCGUGCCUUUUGUAGAAUGAACCGGCGAGUUACGAUCUGAUGCAAGGUUAAGCAGAAAAUGUGGAGCCGUAGCGAAAGCGAGUCUGAAUAGGGCGAAUGAGUAUUUGGUCGUAGACCCGAAACCAGGUGAUCUACCCUUGGUCAGGUUGAAGUUCAGGUAACACUGAAUGGAGGACCGAACCGACUUACGUUGAAAAGUGAGCGGAUGAACUGAGGGUAGCGGAGAAAUUCCAAUCGAACUUGGAGAUAGCUGGUUCUCUCCGAAAUAGCUUUAGGGCUAGCCUCAAGUGAUGAUUAUUGGAGGUAGAGCACUGUUUGGACGAGGGGCCCCUCUCGGGUUACCGAAUUCAGACAAACUCCGAAUGCCAAAUAAUUUAACUUGGGAGUCAGAAUGUGGGUGAUAAGGUCCAUAUUCGAAAGGGAAACAGCCCAGACCACCAGCUAAGGUCCCAAAAUAUAUGUUAAGUGGAAAAGGAUGUGGCGUUGCCCAGACAACUAGGAUGUUGGCUUAGAAGCAGCCAUCAUUUAAAGAGUGCGUAAUAGCUCACUAGUCGAGUGACACUGCGCCGAAAAUGUACCGGGGCUAAACAUAUUACCGAAGCUGUGGAUUGUCCUUUGGACAAUGGUAGGAGAGCGUUCUAAGGGCGUUGAAGCAUGAUCGCAAGGACAUGUGGAGCGCUUAGAAGUGAGAAUGCCGGUGUGAGUAGCGAAAGACGGGUGAGAAUCCCGUCCACCGAUUGACUAAGGUUUCCAGAGGAAGGCUCGUCCGCUCUGGGUUAGUCGGGUCCUAAGCUGAGGCCGACAGGCGUAGGCGAUGGAUAACAGGUUGAUAUUCCUGUACCACCAUUA